This 2590-nucleotide ribosomal RNA is filed under the name Escherichia coli. RNAcentral describes it as "partial 23S ribosomal RNA". It matches the Rfam family "Bacterial large subunit ribosomal RNA", at positions 165 to 2779 of the family's 2925-position model. Lineage: Bacteria; Pseudomonadati; Pseudomonadota; Gammaproteobacteria; Enterobacterales; Enterobacteriaceae. The record is from RNAcentral.
CAUAGGUUAAUGAGGCGAACCGGGGGAACUGAAACAUCUAAGUACCCCGAGGAAAAGAAAUCAACCGAGAUUCCCCCAGUAGCGGCGAGCGAACGGGGAGGAGCCCAGAGCCUGAAUCAGUGUGUGUGUUAGUGGAAGCGUCUGGAAAGGCGCGCGAUACAGGGUGACAGCCCCGUACACAAAAAUGCACAUAUUGUGAGCUCGAUGAGUAGGGCGGGACACGUGGUAUCCUGUCUGAAUAUGGGGGGACCAUCCUCCAAGGCUAAAUACUCCUGACUGACCGAUAGUGAACCAGUACCGUGAGGGAAAGGCGAAAAGAACCCCGGCGAGGGGAGUGAAAAAGAACCUGAAACCGUGUACGUACAAGCAGUGGGAGCCUCUUUAUGGGGUGACUGCGUACCUUUUGUAUAAUGGGUCAGCGACUUAUAUUCUGUAGCAAGGUUAACCGAAUAGGGGAGCCGAAGGGAAACCGAGUCUUAACUGGGCGUUAAGUUGCAGGGUAUAGACCCGAAACCCGGUGAUCUAGCCAUGGGCAGGUUGAAGGUUGGGUAACACUAACUGGAGGACCGAACCGACUAAUGUUGAAAAAUUAGCGGAUGACUUGUGGCUGGGGGUGAAAGGCCAAUCAAACCGGGAGAUAGCUGGUUCUCCCCGAAAGCUAUUUAGGUAGCGCCUCGUGAAUUCAUCUCCGGGGGUAGAGCACUGUUUCGGCAAGGGGGUCAUCCCGACUUACCAACCCGAUGCAAACUGCGAAUACCGGAGAAUGUUAUCACGGGAGACACACGGCGGGUGCUAACGUCCGUCGUGAAGAGGGAAACAACCCAGACCGCCAGCUAAGGUCCCAAAGUCAUGGUUAAGUGGGAAACGAUGUGGGAAGGCCCAGACAGCCAGGAUGUUGGCUUAGAAGCAGCCAUCAUUUAAAGAAAGCGUAAUAGCUCACUGGUCGAGUCGGCCUGCGCGGAAGAUGUAACGGGGCUAAACCAUGCACCGAAGCUGCGGCAGCGACACUAUGUGUUGUUGGGUAGGGGAGCGUUCUGUAAGCCUGUGAAGGUGGCCUGUGAGGGUUGCUGGAGGUAUCAGAAGUGCGAAUGCUGACAUAAGUAACGAUAAAGCGGGUGAAAAGCCCGCUCGCCGGAAGACCAAGGGUUCCUGUCCAACGUUAAUCGGGGCAGGGUGAGUCGACCCCUAAGGCGAGGCCGAAAGGCGUAGUCGAUGGGAAACAGGUUAAUAUUCCUGUACUUGGUGUUACUGCGAAGGGGGGACGGAGAAGGCUAUGUUGGCCGGGCGACGGUUGUCCCGGUUUAAGCGUGUAGGCUGGUUUUCCAGGCAAAUCCGGAAAACCAAGGCUGAGGCGUGAUGACGAGGCACUACGGUGCUGAAGCGACAAAUGCCCUGCUUCCAGGAAAAGCCUCUAAGCAUCAGGUAACAUCAAAUCGUACCCCAAACCGACACAGGUGGUCAGGUAGAGAAUACCAAGGCGCUUGAGAGAACUCGGGUGAAGGAACUAGGCAAAAUGGUGCCGUAACUUCGGGAGAAGGCACGCUGAUAUGUAGGUGAAGCGACUUGCUCGUGGAGCUGAAAUCAGUCGAAGAUACCAGCUGGCUGCAACUGUUUAUUAAAAACACAGCACUGUGCAAACACGAAAGUGGACGUAUACGGUGUGACGCCUGCCCGGUGCCGGAAGGUUAAUUGAUGGGGUUAGCGGUAACGCGAAGCUCUUGAUCGAAGCCCCGGUAAACGGCGGCCGUAACUAUAACGGUCCUAAGGUAGCGAAAUUCCUUGUCGGGUAAGUUCCGACCUGCACGAAUGGCGUAAUGAUGGCCAGGCUGUCUCCACCCGAGACUCAGUGAAAUUGAACUCGCUGUGAAGAUGCAGUGUACCCGCGGCAAGACGGAAAGACCCCGUGAACCUUUACUAUAGCUUGACACUGAACAUUGAGCCUUGAUGUGUAGGAUAGGUGGGAGGCUUUGAAGUGUGGACGCCAGUCUGCAUGGAGCCGACCUUGAAAUACCACCCUUUAAUGUUUGAUGUUCUAACGUUGGCCCGUAAUCCGGGUUGCGGACAGUGUCUGGUGGGUAGUUUGACUGGGGCGGUCUCCUCCUAAAGAGUAACGGAGGAGCACGAAGGUUGGCUAAUCCUGGUCGGACAUCAGGAGGUUAGUGCAAUGGCAUAAGCCAGCUUGACUGCGAGCGUGACGGCGCGAGCAGGUGCGAAAGCAGGUCAUAGUGAUCCGGUGGUUCUGAAUGGAAGGGCCAUCGCUCAACGGAUAAAAGGUACUCCGGGGAUAACAGGCUGAUACCGCCCAAGAGUUCAUAUCGACGGCGGUGUUUGGCACCUCGAUGUCGGCUCAUCACAUCCUGGGGCUGAAGUAGGUCCCAAGGGUAUGGCUGUUCGCCAUUUAAAGUGGUACGCGAGCUGGGUUUAGAACGUCGUGAGACAGUUCGGUCCCUAUCUGCCGUGGGCGCUGGAGAACUGAGGGGGGCUGCUCCUAGUACGAGAGGACCGGAGUGGACGCAUCACUGGUGUUCGGGUUGUCAUGCCAAUGGCACUGCCCGGUAGCUAAAUGCGGAAGAGAUAAGUGCUGAAAGCA